Long non-coding RNA from Psammomys obesus (fat sand rat), 874 nucleotides. RefSeq lists it as uncharacterized. The transcript has 3 exons. The record is from RefSeq and is a predicted model, not a curated record. Lineage: Eukaryota; Metazoa; Chordata; Mammalia; Rodentia; Muridae.
GAUCCCCGUCACAGGGAGACGACCCAGGCACGAACACACUCCAGAGGAGGACCUUGAGAGUCUUGCGCUCUUGCUCUUUGUGGCGUACCCUUGGGACAAGGUCUCCUACUGAAUCUACAGACAGACUGGCAGCCAUCAAACACCAGCCACCCAGCCCUCACCUCUAUGCCCACACAGGAGGAAGGUCAUAGACGGAAGUGAUCACCUGGAUUUCUAUGUGGAUGCCUGGGGGCUAGAACUCAGGUCCUCAUGCUUGUGUGGCAAUUGCCCUUUCCCUCCGGGCCAUCUCUCCAGCUCCUCUCCCUAGGUUUUGACUAUGAACCUGCCAAACUCACAGAAACCCUCCUCUGACAUCCACCUCAGGUCAGCCUGACCCCAGGCUACAGGGCUCUGCCAGUUCUUCUAGGGAUCGUGGAACCUGGAACUACUUGCUGCACCCGGAUACCUGCCUCCUGCCAUCCACCCUGCAGCCCCUGACCACACAGCCUCUAUUCCUGCCAAGCCACUAAUAUGGUCUUACAAAUUAGGAAUAUCAUAUGAGACUCCUGUAGCCAUGCUUAUGCCUUGUGAUAACAGGAAGUUACUCUGUUGGAGCUCUAAUGGUUCAGAUCUGAGUGUUGGCAAGGCCGUGCUUGCCAGAGCUUUGAGGGGAAGGUCUUUCUUUGUGCCGGAUGGUCUCAGAUGGUCACUGUUCCGUGUCUCCCAUCAGCCUUGCUGUAAUCUCUGUCUCUGUUUUUACUUUUAUUUUUAGAUAGGACCUCAGUAGGUAGCCCAAGUUAGGCUUAAACUUAUGAUCCUCCUGCCUCAGCCUUCCGAGUGUUGGGAUCCUAGGGCGGGUGCCACCACACCUGGCUGCCUCUGUCUUUAAAAAAAU